RNAcentral lists this ribosomal RNA (440 nucleotides) under uncultured bacterium. RNAcentral describes it as "bacterial SSU rRNA". It matches the Rfam family "Bacterial small subunit ribosomal RNA", at positions 28 to 441 of the family's 1533-position model. The record is from RNAcentral.
GACGAACGCUGGCGGCGUGCUUAACACAUGCAAGUCGAACGAGAAUCUACUGAAAGAGUUUUCGGACAAUGGAUGUAGAGGAAAGUGGCGGACGGGUGAGUAACACGUGGGUAACCUGCCUCAUAGAGGGGGAUAACGAUUGGAAACGAUCGCUAAUACCGCAUAAGCCCACAGUACCGCAUGGUACAGAGGGAAAAAGAUUUUCCAUCGCUAUGAGAUGGACCCGCGUCAGAUUAGCUGGUUGGUGGUGUAAACGGACCACCAAGGCAACGAUCUGUAGCCGGACUGAGAGGUUGAACGGCCACAUUGGGACUGAGACACGGCCCAAAACUCCUACGGGAGGCAGCAGUUGGGGAAAUAUUGCACAAUGGGGGAAACCCUGAUGCAGCGACGCCGCGUGGGUGAAAGAAGUUUUUCGGAAUGUAAAAGCCCUAUCAGCA